Molecule: long non-coding RNA, 442 nt
Organism: Oncorhynchus nerka (sockeye salmon)
Lineage: Eukaryota; Metazoa; Chordata; Actinopteri; Salmoniformes; Salmonidae
Exons: 4
Source: RefSeq, a predicted model, not a curated record
UGUAAAAGUGUUGUAGCACUGUCGUUUGAAUACUCUCAUUUGCAGGAAAGCUUACAGGCCUUCUUCUUCAUGGUAACGGUUUCUGUCAUACGGAGGUAAGGGGAUACUUCGGUGCUGUCCAACAAGGCGUCUGUUAUCAGAGGGAAAUGUGUCCGUUCAGAGUGUUUUUUCCGGCGUCCUGGAACGCACCCUGUCUGGUUGCCAGGCAAUGUAGCCAGUUGGGAGUUCUGAUGACCCGCACCUGUAUCCCAUCAGCUAUCUGCACACCUGGUCCUGAUCAUCAUCUCUCCUCUUCAUAAGCCCGGACCUGACAUCCAUUCCCUGCCAGAUCGUUAGCCAUGAACAUUACUCACCCGGAUCAUUUACCCCAUUCCCGCCUGGUCGUCGGAGGAUUCCGCUACCCCAUUGGAUCCACCUAUUUACUCCCAUCAACUCACCACCG